RNAcentral lists this ribosomal RNA (668 nucleotides) under Desulfotalea sp. PR6_B02. Its description in RNAcentral is "bacterial SSU rRNA". It matches the Rfam family "Bacterial small subunit ribosomal RNA", at positions 104 to 762 of the family's 1533-position model. The record is from RNAcentral. Lineage: Bacteria; Pseudomonadati; Thermodesulfobacteriota; Desulfobulbia; Desulfobulbales; Desulfocapsaceae.
GGGUGAGUAACGCGUAAGUAAUCUACCCUGAUAUCUGGGAUAACAAUUCGAAAGGAUUGCUAAUACCGGAUACGCUGAUUUAUCAGGAAAGGUGGCCUCUUCAUGAAAGCUACUGUAUCAGGAGGAGCUUGCGUACCAUUAGCUAGUUGGUGGGGUAAUGGCCUACCAAGGCGACGAUGGUUAGCGGGUCUGAGAGGAUGAUCCGCCACACUGGAACUGAAACACGGACCAGACUCCUACGGGAGGCAGCAGUGAGGAAUAUUGCGCAAUGGGGGAAACCCUGACGCAGCGACGCCGCGUGGAUGAUGAAGGCUUUCGGGUCGUAAAAUCCUGUCAGAUGGGAAGAAAUGCUAUGAGGCUAAUACCCUUGUAGUUUGACGGUACCAUCAAAGGAAGCACCGGCUAACUCCGUGCCAGCAGCCGCGGUAAUACGGAGGGUGCAAGCGUUGUUCGGAAUUACUGGGCGUAAAGCGCGCGUAGGCGGCCUUUUAAGUCAGAUGUGAAAGUCCACGGCUCAACCGUGGAAGUGCAUUUGAUACUGGGAGGCUUGAGUACUGGAGGGGAUGGUGGAAUUCCCGGUGUAGAGGUGAAAUUCGUAGAUAUCGGGAGGAAUACCGGUGGCGAAGGCGACCAUCUGGCCAGAUACUGACGCUGAGGUGCGAAAGCGU